UUAGAGUUUGAUCCUGGCUCAGGAUGAACGCUAGCGGCAGGCUUAACACAUGCAAGUCGAGGGGCAGCAUAUAAGUAGCAAUACUUAUGAUGGCGACCGGCGCACGGGUGCGUAACGCAUAUGCAACCUACCCAUUACAGGGGGAUAACAUUGAGAAAUCGGUACUAAUACCCCAUAACAUCUCCGGAGGCAUCUCCGGGGGUUGAAAACUCCGGUGGUAAUGGAUGGGCAUGCGUUGUAUUAGUUAGUUGGUGGGGUAACGGCUCACCAAGACGACGAUACAUAGGGGGACUGAGAGGUUAACCCCCCACAUUGGUACUGAGACACGGACCAAACUCCUACGGGAGGCAGCAGUGAGGAAUAUUGGUCAAUGGACGCAAGUCUGAACCAGCCAUGCCGCGUGCAGGAAGACGGCUCUAUGAGUUGUAAACUGCUUUUGUACGAGGGUAAACUCGGGUACGUGUACCCGACUGAAAGUAUCGUACGAAUAAGGAUCGGCUAACUCCGUGCCAGCAGCCGCGGUAAUACGGAGGAUUCAAGCGUUAUCCGGAUUUAUUGGGUUUAAAGGGUGCGUAGGCGGUCGGAUAAGUUAGAGGUGAAAUCCCGGGGCUCAACUCCGGAAUUGCCUCUGAUACUGUUCGGCUAGAGAGUAGUUGCGGUAGGCGGAAUGUAUGGUGUAGCGGUGAAAUGCUUAGAGAUCAUACAGAACACCGAUUGCGAAGGCAGCUUACCAAGCUACAUCUGACGUUGAGGCACGAAAGCGUGGGGAGCAAACAGGAUUAGAUACCCUGGUAGUCCACGCAGUAAACGAUGAUAACUCGUUGUCGGCGAUACAAUGUCGGUGACUAAGCGAAAGCGAUAAGUUAUCCACCUGGGGAGUACGUUCGCAAGAAUGAAACUCAAAGGAAUUGACGGGGGCCCGCACAAGCGGAGGAACAUGUGGUUUAAUUCGAUGAUACGCGAGGAACCUUACCCGGGCUUGAAAGUUACUGACGCUUCUGGAAACAGGAGUUCCCUUCGGGGCAGGAAACUAGGUGCUGCAUGGUUGUCGUCAGCUCGUGCCGUGAGGUGUCGGGUUAAGUCCCAUAACGAGCGCAACCCCUACCGUUAGUUGCCAUCAGGUAAAGCUGGGCACUCUGGCGGGACUGCCGGUGUAAGCCGAGAGGAAGGUGGGGAUGACGUCAAAUCAGCACGGCCCUUACGUCCGGGGCUACACACGUGUUACAAUGGCAGGUACAGAGGGCAGCUACCUCGUGAGAGGAUGCGAAUCUCGAAAGCCUGUCUCAGUUCGGAUUGGAGGCUGAAACCCGCCUCCAUGAAGUUGGAUUCGCUAGUAAUCGCGCAUCAGCCAUGGCGCGGUGAAUACGUUCCCGGGCCUUGUACACACCGCCCGUCA
RNAcentral lists this ribosomal RNA (1396 nucleotides) under uncultured bacterium. Its description in RNAcentral is "16S ribosomal RNA". It matches the Rfam family "Bacterial small subunit ribosomal RNA". The record is from RNAcentral.